UACGUAGGCGGCAAGCGUUGUCCGGAAUUAUUGGGCGUAAAGGGAGCGCAGGCGGGAAACUAAGCGGAUCUUAAAAGUGCGGGGCUCAACCCCGUGAUGGGGUCCGAACUGGUUUUCUUGAGUGCAGGAGAGGAAAGCGGAAUUCCCAGUGUAGCGGUGAAAUGCGUAGAUAUUGGGAAGAACACCAGUGGCGAAGGCGGCUUUCUAGACUGUAACUGACGCUGAGGCUCGAAAGCUAGGGUAGCGAACGGG
RNAcentral lists this ribosomal RNA (252 nucleotides) under Megamonas funiformis YIT 11815. RNAcentral describes it as "partial 16S ribosomal RNA". It matches the Rfam family "Bacterial small subunit ribosomal RNA", at positions 524 to 776 of the family's 1533-position model. The record is from RNAcentral. Lineage: Bacteria; Bacillati; Bacillota; Negativicutes; Selenomonadales; Selenomonadaceae.